This 350-nucleotide unclassified non-coding RNA is filed under the name soil metagenome. Its description in RNAcentral is "partial contains 5.8S ribosomal RNA, internal transcribed spacer 2, and large subunit ribosomal RNA". The stretch from base 1 to 120 matches the Rfam family "5.8S ribosomal RNA", at positions 35 to 154 of the family's 154-position model. The record is from RNAcentral.
GAUGAAGAACGUAGCGAAAUGCGAUAAGUAGUGUGAAUUGCAGAAUUCAGUGAAUCAUCGAAUCUUUGAACGCACAUUGCGCCCCCUGGCAUUCCGGGGGGCAUGCCUGUCCGAGCGUCAUUGCUGCCCUUCAAGCCCGGCUUGUGUGUUGGGUCGUCGUCCCCCCCGGGGGACGGGCCCGAAAGGCAGCGGCGGCACCGCGUCCGGUCCUCGAGCGUAUGGGGCUUUGUCACCGGCUCGAUUAGGGCCGGCCGGGCGCCAGCCGGCGUCUCCAACCUUCUAUUUUACCAGGUUGACCUCGGAUCAGGUAGGGAUACCCGCUGAACUUAAGCAUAUCAAUAAGCGGAGGA